This is a non-coding RNA of Cinara cedri, 343 nucleotides long. The record is from the annotation of a GenBank genome assembly. Lineage: Eukaryota; Metazoa; Arthropoda; Insecta; Hemiptera; Aphididae.
AUUAUUAAUUUCACUCAGAGCCAGAGAUAAGACGUAGGGGGUAAUCGAGAAAAAUAAUAUCUUCAUUUUUUUGUUUUGGAAUUUUAUUAUGUAGUAAUUACUGUAAUACUGUAAUUACUGUAGUAGUGAGAAUAUUAGUAUCGUUUAAUUGAUUAGAUAUUCAUCAUGGGACAAAAUAUAAUGGGCAAAAAGAAUUGUUCAAAUCGACAAUUUUUUAAUUACGUCCCUCCGUCAAUUUUUGUUAGCGCUAACUCUGAUUUUACAUUAACUCAAUAAAAUACCUAGUCUAGUUGAUUUAAUACGCUUAAAAUAUAGAGUAUAACACAUAAUUUAAUUACUAACA